RNAcentral lists this ribosomal RNA (253 nucleotides) under uncultured bacterium. Its description in RNAcentral is "partial 16S ribosomal RNA". It matches the Rfam family "Bacterial small subunit ribosomal RNA", at positions 524 to 776 of the family's 1533-position model. The record is from RNAcentral.
UACGUAGGAAGCAAGCGUUAUCCGGAUUUACUGGGCGUAAAGUGGACGUAGGCGGUCUUUCAAGUCGGAUGUGAAAUCUCCUGGCUUAACUGGGAGGGGUCAUCCGAUACUGUUGGACUAGAGGACAUCAGGGGAAGGUGGAAUUCCCGGUGUAGUGGUGAAAUGCGUAGAUAUCGGGAGGAACACCAGUGGCGAAGGCGGCCUUCCAGGAUGUUUCUGACGCUGAGGUCCGAAAGUGUGGGGAGCGAACAGG